RNAcentral lists this ribosomal RNA (401 nucleotides) under Gallotia galloti palmae. Its description in RNAcentral is "partial 16S ribosomal RNA". It matches the Rfam family "Bacterial large subunit ribosomal RNA", at positions 1972 to 2575 of the family's 2925-position model. Lineage: Eukaryota; Metazoa; Chordata; Lepidosauria; Squamata; Lacertidae. The record is from RNAcentral.
UCCCUAAAUAGGGACUAGUAUGAACGGCUAAAUGAGGACCUUACUGUCUCUUGCCGCCAGUCAAUGAAACUGAUCUCCCAGUCCAAAAGCUGGAAUAACUCCAUAAGACAAAAAGACCCUGUGGAGCUUUAAAACCAAAACCACCUACAAUUGUCCACUUGGUUUUUAGUUGGGGCGACUUCGGAGCAAAGACAAACCUCCGAAACAAUGGACCUCACCAUAUCAAGGCCAACACGCCAAAAUAACCAAAACUUGACCCAGACCUUAAUUUCUGACCAAUGAACCAAGUUACCCCAGGGAUAACAGCGCCAUCUUCUUUUAGAGUCCCUAUCGACAAGAAGGUUUACGACCUCGAUGUUGGAUCAGGACACCCCAAUAGUGCAGCCGCUAUUAAAGGUUCG